GGGAAUAUAGAUAGAGAGAGACAUUGAGAGGGGAGGGAGGACGAAGAAAAGAAGGCACAGAUCUGCGAAAAAAAAACGCAGCAACACCUCCUCUCUUCUAUUUCAUCUUUUUCCUACCACCUAACCACAAACCAGCCAUUUUCUUUGAUCCAUUUUUAGCCAUGUGAGAUAAUCUUUAGCCACUCAAACUCUAAACUGAAAAUUAGCAGCAAACCCAACAGCAAAAACACACAAAAACCCAUCCAAAACACCCCCAAAACAGCCCCAAAUGCAGCUGAAAAAGCCAUUAAAACCCCAUUGAAGCCAGUUCUUCUCCUCCAAAAAAGAAAUCCAGUGAAAAAUCUCCAUUAAAAUGCUUCAAAACACCCCCAAACUUCAGCUUUGAAUCACCCCAAAAUCACCUUUCACACAGCUGAAACGUCACCUUUGUAACAUCAUUUUUUCAGAUGUAAAAACUAGCUUUGAACCACUGGUUUCUUAACCAUUUUUAGCCAUCGAAGUAGCCAAAAAAAAAUGACCCCAAAAGCUGCAAAAACGCAGCAUCUCCACCAACAAAAAAACAGCUCCGACCCUACUGAGACGAGGCUUUUUUCGAGGCCGCUAAUGAGAUUUUCCGGUUAAGUCGAGAUCGCCGGCGAGUUGCUUUUCCCGGUUCGCGGUCCAUGUUUCAGAUUUUGUUCCUGCUCUUGGUCAACCAUGGCUUGUGCACAUAUGCGAUACUCGAAAUUUCUUCUUCAAUUGGAAGACGAUUUGCUUUGCUUAAGGUUAUACUCCAACUUUGUUCAUUUUUAUUUCAGAUCUUAUUUCUUAUUGGUAUGUGAAUAAUAUCUGUCUAGUUUAAUUACUCCAUGCUAAAUCAAGAAUUUGUCUUUGUCUGGUAUUAUGAAGAUUAGCUCAUGACCAUUUUAAUUUAUUUAUAACUUUUACGACUGUACGUGUUUGGUAGUACACAUUGUUUGAGUUGCUUUAUUUAAACUAGAAUGAGAGAAUUUAAUUUGAGCAUAUUUGAAUGUUAAGGAAGUGUGGCAGUGUUAUUUUUACUAAUUUUGGUAAGUGGUGGGGUUAAUCACAAUUGAAAAAAAUUGGGCUUUACAUGAUGUCGGACUGAAUUCUAAUUUUUUUUAUUAGACCUGAGCCAAAUAAUGUAACGUCGCCCAAGUUUUUAAGUAAUAUACAUGUUGCUAGCCCAUUUUCAUGUCUUCCAUACUUAUCAAUUCAUAGCAUUUCUCCCACAAUAAUUUCAUAAUUCGUGACCUUACAAUAAUCUCAAAAGUAGUUUAGGAAAAUAACUCACGAAACCUUUAAUUAGUUUAUCGCGAUUAUGUAUACGUUCGCGUGACAUAAUUGUGAUUUUCAAAAUUAAAACCAUAGUAUGUGUUCGCGCAACUUUGGCCAAAAUAAUCUUAAUAUAAUAAAAUGCUAUUAAUUGUGUACACGUAUGCGUGACAUAAUUUUGGCACAACAAACAAAACGGAUUCACACACGUGAUUCGUUUCAAAGAUAAUUCCAUAUUUUAAUAAUUAAAAGCAGAUAGAUAAAACAUGGAAACUAAUAAAUCACAGUUUAUUCAAAAUUAAUUCAAGCCAAGUUGUAGUCAAUAAAGCGACCGUGCUAGAACCACGGGACUCGGGGGAAUGCCUUACACAUUCUCCCCGGUCAACAGAAUUUCUUACCCGGACUUUAUUUUUGCAUACCAAUAAUAAAAGAGUCAAAUCUUCCUUUGAAUAGGGGUUCAAAUAAUAGGUGACUUGGAACACCAAAAAUCAAUUUCAAGUGGCGACUCUGUAAAUAAAGUAAUCCCUACUCAAGUUUGUCACUUUAAUUGGAAAAACUCUUUAACCCACAAUCCACAACGAUACAUAACAUACAUAUCGUUUCGGGGUAAAACGGGGUGUGACAACGAGGUACGCAAUUUUUGAUUUAUUAUAUUAGUAGGACCUUAGGUAAGGCCGAAACUAGGUACCUUCACAUAGAAAAACUGAUGCUCGCCUUGCUAAACGGCUCCAGGAAGCUAAAACCAUACUUCCAAUGUAACCCCAUAUGUGUUGUAAUAACUUACCCAUUAAGGAACAUUAUGCAUAAGCCCGAACUCUCGGGCCGAUUGGUCAAAUGGGCCGUGGAAGUAAGUGGUUACGAUAUUGAGUACCGACCUCGGACCGCCAUUAAGUCCCAAAUUUUGGCAGACUUCGUGUCCGACUUUAUCCCAACCCUAAUAUCCGAGGUCGAAAGAGAGUUAUUGAUUAACUCGGGGAAUUCCUCGGGAAUCAGGACCCUCUUUACGAAUGACGCCUCAAACGCAAAAGGGUCCAGAAUUGGCAUCGUACUAAAGCCACCAACAGGUAAUAUAAUUAGGCAAUCUAUUAAGACUGUGAAAUUGACUAAUAACGAGGCCGAAUAUGGGGCCAUGAUUGCAGGCCUUGAAUUAGCCAAAAGCUUGGGGGCAGAGGUGAUCGAAGCCAAGUGUGACUCACUCCUUGUGGUAAACCUAGUUAAUGGGACAUUCGAGGUCAUGGAAGAACGAAUGCAGAGAUACUUGGAAAAGUUACAAGUGACAUUAUAUCAGUUCAAAGAAUGGACUUUGCAACAUGUACCUCGGGAUCAAAACAGCGAGGCCGAUGCCCUCGCUAACUUGGGAUCGUCGGUCGAAGACAACGAGAUCAACUCGGGAGAAGUCAUACAACUUAUGAGAUCGGUGGUGGAAGAAGGCCAUGCCGUGAUCAACUCAACGAGCCUAACUUGGGAGUGAAGGAAUAAGUAUGUGGAAUAUCUCAGGACCGAAAAACUGUCCUCGGAACCGAAAAAAUCGAGGGCCCUACGUACAAAGGCAGCCCGAUUUUGCCUGUCCGAAGACGGAACCGUAUUUAGAAGGACAUUCGAUAGCCCACUUGAAAUAUGUCUAGGGCCGGGGGAUACUGAGUACGUUUUGAGGGAAAUCCACAAAGGUACCUGUGGAAAUCAUUCGGGCGCCGAAUCACUGGUUCGAAAAAUAAUCAGAGUCGGUUACUACUUGAUAGACAUGGAAAAAGACGCAAAGGGGUUCGUUCGAAAAUGUGAUGAAUGCCAAAGACACGCUCAGAUGAUUCAUCAACCUGGAGAGCUACUGUAUUCAGUUUUGUCACCAUGGUCGUUCAUGAGGUGAGGAAUGGACAUCGUCGGCCACCUUCUAUGGGCACCCGGUAAGGCUCGAUUUAUAUUAUUUCUGACUGACUACUUUUCUAAAUGGGUGGAAGCCCAGGCAUAUGAAAAGGUCAGAGAGAAGGAAGUUAUCGAUUUCAUUUGAGACCACAUCAUAUGCCAAUUCGGGAUGCCGACCGAGAUUGUAUGCGAUAAUGGGAAACAAUUCAUCAGAAGCAAAGUAACUAAAUUCCUCGAAGACCAUAAGAUCAAAAGGAUUCUAUCGACACCCUAUCACUCUAGCGGGAAUGGACAAGCUGAAUCUACCAACAAAACCAUACUCCAAAGCCUUAAAAAAGUUUAACCGACACCAAAGGAAAAUGGAAGGAAAUGCUACCUGAGGUCCUAUGGGUGUACCGCACAACCUCGAAGUCCAGUACUGGAGCCAUCCCAUUUUAUUUGGUUUAUGGCACCAAAGCUUUAAUAUCAGUCGAGGUCGGAGAACCAAGCAUCAGAUUCUGAUAUGCAACAAAGGAAUCGAACGAUGAUGCUAUGAGUACGGGCCUGGAGCUAUUAGAUGAAAGCCACGAAGCCGCCCUCGUCCGGCUGGCCGCCCAAAAACAGAGGAUUGAAAGAUAUUACAAUUAAAGGGCCAACCUUCGACACUUCAAUACAGGAGACUUGGUACUAAGAAAAGUUACACUGAGUACCUGAAACCCAAACGAAUGGAAAUUAGGGCCGAACUAGGAAGGACCAUACCAAAUUAUCGAGAUCAUCGGAAAAGGGUCCUACAAGAUCGGAAUAAUGAACGGCGAGCAAUUACCGAACAAAUGGAAUAUAACUCACUUAAAGCGAUAUUACUGCUAAGGUAUGACCCCGAUUAUUUCUUUUAUUUUUACAUUUCAAAUUAACACUAGCAGGUAACAAACAAGGGAUGAUACGAGAUCCUAGGUCUGAAAGCACGCGUUGCACUAUUUUUCCCUUGAACCGGCUUUGUCCCAAAUGGGUUUUCCGGCAAGGUUUUAAACGAGGCAACAAGUAAAUCGUGCUAACUUAGAAUUGAAGGCUGGCUACGAACCAGUGACAAUGAUCACAACAUCAUUCAAGGCCUCUCUUCGGUUAGCCCCGAACACUGGGGCCAAUACCCUUGGAUAUCGACUUUAACAAGGAAAGAAAACUUCGUGAUUGAAGGGUCUCGAUCAACAAGAUUUAUUGUAAGGGCCAAAUAGUCAAAUGAACCGUACCCACAUACACUGCUCGAGCCCUGGCACAAAAUAUGUAUAUAUAUACAACUAUUGUGCACAAGAAUAAAAAAGAAGACUCUUCCUUGCACAUAAGCAUCUUUUCCUUUAAAAUGUUUCUUUCAUUUUUCAAGGAAUUUCCUAAAGCUAUCGAGCCCAAGGGCCACCUUAAUCUGAGUUCGAACAUUCACUCUCACUCGGGGACUGCCAACCAAAAAUAAUCUCGGGCGGUCCGAGCUAUCAGAUCUCGGGGGCACAAGACCAUUAGGCAAUGCCCGAAUUUCAAAGGCCACGACCACCCCCACUCGGGGAUAGUUAUAUUAGGUAUGCCCGGAUAACUCGGAAUAGCAAGCCCACUGGGCAACGCCUGAACUAAAAAGGAUACGACCAUAUUAACACAGCUCGGAGACGUCCAAGACUCGUAACAAAAAAAAGGCCUUCAAAAAAUUCUUUUUUUAUAACCGGGUCUAAAGGCUACCAUCGACAAACCAUCAACCUAAACUAUUUUGGGGAAAAGUUUUCGGUAACACCGAAUCCCUCUGAUGCCUAAACACAAAAUAAUGUUAAAGGCAAGGUUUGUUCGAACCUUAGAACACAACCUAAUUAUUUCAUGCUAAGGCAUUUUGACCUUUGCGAAUACAAAUAAAAAAGCGAAGGAAAAAUUCAAAAGCUGUGAAAGGGAAAAGCCUUAGAUAUAUAUCAAAAUUUCUUCUUACAAGAGCUGAAUAGCCCCGAUACAAAUUUUUACAAAGGCUGAACGACCUCAACAAAAAGAUAGUACAAAAAACAAAAGGCAAAAAUGCCUAAAAUGAUCCUAAACGGCCUAAUCUUCAUCGGGGGCCACGUCAUCACCUACGGGGUCUUCGCCACCAUCAGACUCACCCGACUCUUUAGACCCCUCGGAAUCUUUCUCGGGAUAAGCCAUCUUCCUGAUCUUGGCUUCGUAUAUCUUGGCUAUCUCGAUUUCAGCCAAUAAGUCAAAAUUCUGAGCAUGGACUCCCUCGAGGGCCUCCCUUCGGGAUUGCCACUUCGCAUGCUUCACCAUGUUUCUCGCUUGGUUCUGAAUCGCCUCGGUAUCGGCCUUGUGCUAGGCCAACUUAUCAUCGGCCCCGGUCCUGACCAUGGCAACCUCUGACAUGGUUACCUCAAGCUCCUUGGCAAGAUUCUGUUGACUGGAGACAACCGAGUUCAGCUGAGACUGAAGCCCCUUGAUCGUUUUGGCCGGCACCAAGUUUUCCUCCUUUGCAGCCUGAAGCUGAACCUCAGCCGAAGUCAACUGAGCUCGGCCAGUAUCCUUCUUCGAGGCCAUGCGAUCCAUGUUUUUCCUCCAUUCUUUGGCCUCGGCUUUGACCGUAUCCACCUUCCCUCAGAGCUGCUCGAUCUGGUCAAGCUUAUUUUGAACUUGUGGGUUUGGAUCGUUAGCCACUGUGUCUGACUCAUCAUGACUAACUUCAAAAACUUUUCUCACCUGCUCGAGCAAGUCGGUAUGCUCAUUCCGAGCCGCUUCUAGAUCAGCCUGGGAUUUCUCACGAAGAAGAUUGUAAGCAUCCUUCUUCUCAGUAAGCUCCCAAGUCUUGACCUCGUGACAUUUGAACUCUUCCCGGUAUCAAAGAAAUGCCUUGUGCUGAAGUACCGAGACCUGCAAGCACAAAGGAAAAUGUUACAAUUAUUUACGACUAAAUCUAAGUAUAUAAUAAAGGGACAUUCAAAGUUACCCGAUUCAACGCAUGUUGAGCUUCGUUGAACAUGCAAGGCGCUUUCACCUCGUUCAUUUUGGCCUGAUCCUCUUCGGUCACCAAUCACCGAAGGUAACUGGCAAUACUCACGGGGGCAGAGAGAACCCGGACAAACUCCGAAAUUGACAUAAAUAUUGCUCGCUUCCGGGUAGGAUCAACACUCGGAGAUGGGAACCGAUUCACUAAUUUUGGGCUUGAAGAAGACCCGCCAACUCCCAGAGACGGUAUCUUAUUUGGUACCAGUAAGUCACCCAACCCGGUGAUAUCCUCCAAGGUGGUAGAAUCCAAGCCAUCGAAGAAGUUGUGAAAAGAAUCUGUUGCUCCUUGGGGUCCCUCACUGAGGUGACAUUUCAACGUCUGAGCCUCGUUUAUCUUAAAAUCAGUAAACGAAGGCGACCCGGAGAGAUCUAACACCUCGAGUGCGUCAUUCAGAACAUUAUCUUCCUACCGAGAAGUAUCGUCCACGGUUUAUUUGUCGGCCUCCCCAUCUCGGGGCAAAACGACCUCAACCCUCCCUAGUUCGGGGGCCUCGGCCAUUGCUUCUUCAUCGACCUCCCUGGUUUGAGACAGUUCGGAACCGCUUCUCACGCGGGCCACCAAUUCGGAUUAUUCUUCUUCGGACUCAUCCCUCAACCGAUGGACUGACUCCGAUGGGAGUUCUCGGGCACUGGUAUUUUCUUUAGGUUUGCGUGCAAGUCGCUUCCUCGGUUUCUUAUUUUCGGGGCUCGAGGAGCUCGGAACUUUUCUUCUUUUCUUCUCUUUAUCCUGCUUCGGACCAGGGGGAUCGGUGAAUAUGUCAUCAUCGCCGGACGGAGGCCUCAUUUCGACAUCUUUUGGUAAACCUGCAAUAGAGAAGUAAACAAUUCAGAAAUCGAGGGCGUAAAAGUAAGGUCGAAUGUAACUUAAAUAAACAAAUCUCACCAUGAGAAUGGGCCUCCCAUCGGCCCUUCGAAAGCUCAUGCCAUGAGCACUCGGAAUAAGAUCUCUGUGUUGCGAUACCCUCGACCCACUCCUUGAGUCGAGGAACUGCAUCCGGCAUCUGAGCAACAACUGUACCAUCACAAAAUAUCAAUGAAAAGGCAGGAAAAAUAAAACCAAUAAAAAAAAUCUUAAAGGCAAAGUUAUACUUACGUUUCAUGUUCCAUUUCUCAGGAAAUGGCAUAUCCUCAGCCGAGAUUAAAUCCUAGGUCUUCACUCGAACAAAAUGGCCCAACCAGCCUCGGUCCCGAUCCUCAUCGAUGCUCGAGAAUUGGGCCUUAUCGGCCUGACGUGCAAGCUUGAUUAAUCCCCUUCAAUAGAGUCGGGGGCUAUACAGGCGCAUAAGGUGGUCGAUGGUAAAGGGACACCCCUUGAGUUUGUUCAUGAAGAAUCGAAGAAGAAUUACUAUCCUCCAAAACGAAGGAUGAAUCUACCCAAGAGUCACCUCAUACAUUUUGCAAAAGGCUAUGAUAACUGGAUCUAAAGGACCCAAGGUGAAAGGGUAAAUGAAAACAUUUUAAAAAAACCCUCCACGUGGGUGGUCAUCGAUUCCUCGGGGGCAGGGACCACUACAAGCUUAUCGGCCCAGUUGCAGUCCUCCUUAACCUUCUCAAGGACACUGUCGGUGACCGAACAUAUGUACCUCGAGACCGGCUCGCACCGACCCGGUACCAAGGAGAUUUUCUCGAAUUGGAAAUCAGCUCUGGUUGGACACCCCGCAGCGACGAACAUCUUUAGAGGGGGUUCUGGUGUCGGUUCUUCAGUGACAGCAGGCGAAACGUUCUCAGACGAUCUCGAGGAAGAAAGGUUUUCUUUUUGAGAAACGAAUUUUGAUGUACCAUUGCUUCUAAAUAGAGAAGAAAAGAAGGAGGCGUAAUUAGAAGAUAACUUAUGAUAGCUUUCAGAAAACCAGAAGGGAAGAAGUUUUAAACUUAAGUUUUCAGAAAACUAGAAGAUGAGAGUGAUCAAGUUUUCUUAAAACACAAGAGCAAAUGUUUGAAUGUAAAAGUUCUAAUGAAUGGAUGGAAAGGGUAUUUAUAGUUUUCUCAAACGGAUGUUCGCAUCCUGUAGCGCCGACUGUUAACUGACACACAUUUAAUGUCUUGAAGACCGGACCAACGAGACGUUUCAACUAUUCUUAUCACUUAUGUCAUGAGUUCAUCAUCGUGAUUUAUCGGAGUGAGAAUCGGAAGCUCGUAUCGUUUCUCGUCAUUUACUCUUCAAAAAACAAGGGGAUUUAACGUCAUGUUUUUGUCACUUACGUCAUGAUAUAUCCAAGUGAUAAUCUGAGGCUCAUGUCGUUCCUCGUCAUCUACUCUCCGAAAAAUGAGGGGACUAUCUGUAAACGGGUAAAACUGAGCUCGAUAUUCGAUCGAGCUUCCGAACUCCCUGAUUAGGCCAGGGUCAGAAUAUUUGUGAUCGGGUGGAGUCGAGCUCGAAGAUCGAUUUGGCGUCUAACACCAUCAACCAAGAUCGGCACAUGGUGGUUAUGAUCGAACCCAAAGCAUUGUCAAAGUUAGCAAUCGAAACCAUCAGAUUUGCCCUCGAGUUUACCGAAGGCGUAACCGGUCCUGUUUCUAACGGUCUCGAAGAAAGUUUUGCCAACUCAUCCGACAGAGGUCCAUAAUUCUCGCCAUUAACCAACUAUUAUGGAAGAAAUCACGGAACGAGUCAAAAAGGGACCAACGGUCAGCAAAUCAUCGACUUUUGCCUUUUAUAGAAUAAUAAGAUAAUAUCUUAAAAGGUAGGUCUCUCCUAAUAUAUUUAUAAAGGGGAUUUAAAAAUUCAUGAGACAUAUUGUAACAUACACGGAUAAGCAAUACAUUCUCUGAGUUCUUACUCUGUGGUAUCUUUGUGUCAACAAAAGUGCAUUCAUUUCAAGGGUGGCUUGCUUACCUGUAUACCCGAAAAAGGGAUAGAGUUGAAUUUAUAGUAGUUCUAAGGAUACGUGGUAUAACUCGGCACAAAUUGGAAAAAUAAGUAGGUAUAUAUUGAAUAUUGACUGUAAAAAAGAAUGAAUACAAACCCUAAUUGAGUAGAGAAUGAUUGAUAAAUGAACAAGAUGAAUCAAUAUCAAAAGCCCAAAAAAGGAUAAUAUUUGCUAGAUGUUAUGUAAAUCUCAAUAAUCUUUGAAUGUAAGAAUGUGUGAAUGUAUAUCAAUCUGCCCUUUACAAAUGUUAGCCACUCCUAAUAUAGUGGAGGAAUCCUACUUUGGAUAUAAUUUAAAAUAUAUAGUGGGGAUCCCAUGAUAGAUUAAUUGGCUUUUCCUUGAUUCAAGCCAUGAUUUCAGCCGAGAUUCU
This 9369-nucleotide long non-coding RNA is filed under the name Nicotiana tabacum (common tobacco). RNAcentral describes it as "long non-coding RNA (NTAB_LNC016574)". The record is from RNAcentral. Lineage: Eukaryota; Viridiplantae; Streptophyta; Magnoliopsida; Solanales; Solanaceae.